RNAcentral lists this ribosomal RNA (258 nucleotides) under uncultured bacterium. RNAcentral describes it as "partial 16S ribosomal RNA". It matches the Rfam family "Bacterial small subunit ribosomal RNA", at positions 96 to 354 of the family's 1533-position model. The record is from RNAcentral.
UGGCGGACGGGUGAGUAACGCGUGGAUAACCUGCCGUAUACCGGGGGAUAACACUUAGAAAUAGGUGCUAAUACCGCAUAAGCGCACGGCUCCGCAUGGGGCAGUGUGAAAAACUCCGGUGGUAUACGAUGGAUCCGCGUCUGAUUAGCUAGUUGGCGGGGUAACGGCCCACCAAGGCAGCGAUCAGUAGCCGGCCUGAGAGGGUGGACGGCCACAUUGGGACUGAGACACGGCCCAAUCUCCUACGGAAGGCAGCAG